Molecule: long non-coding RNA, 806 nt
Organism: Phalaenopsis equestris
Lineage: Eukaryota; Viridiplantae; Streptophyta; Magnoliopsida; Asparagales; Orchidaceae
Exons: 4
Source: RefSeq, a predicted model, not a curated record
AUUUGGUCAGUAGCAUCAUGCUGCCGCAAGGGUAGGUUUUGCGGCCUCAAUUUGGAUAGUUUUUCCUAUAAUCUUUGUUGAGGUCAACCCCAAUCUUUUGGGCCAUUUGUAGAUAUAGCAAUCAUGCAAAAAUCUCUUUAGAGAUGGAGUUCUAGAUCCAAGGAAUAACAAUAUCAUUGUUACUAUUUCAAGAGCUCAGAAGAUCGAGAAAUUCACCUUCUCAUUUGGGUAUUGAUCCAUCGACAAAAGAAGCAAUUGAAACAAAGCACUGUGAUGCCAUAUUACGAAGAGAAAAUUAGAAAAGACAAAACUUAAAAUCUAAAGGGGAAUUUACAUACAUACCACCCUAAAAUCCCAAGUACCACAAUUUUACCAACCUUAACCUAACUCCGUCUCCUUCCCCAGCACUUCGCGUGAGGGAUCCUCCAUUAACAAACUCAAGCAAAAGGAUGUACUGUUCUGAGACAACUAAAGUGGAGAUCUUUGCAAACAAGGAAUUGUUAUUAGUGAUUUAUGGCUAGAACUUGUGAUCUGAGACUGUGCGGCCUAUUUCGUGGUUCGCAUUGGGAAAAUUCAUUGGAAAGGAAAAUUAUGGAGGAUGUUGAAAAACAAAUAUCUUAUGAAGAGCAUGGAGAACCAUUUGCAUAUGAAACAUCGACUCUACAGAUUUCAAAUGAGAUGGGGGGUUACUAUUGAUGAGCACGUGAAUGACUUCACAAAUCUGUUAGUAGAUCUGUUAAUUUACAUAGCACAAAUUUCUUAUGUAUUUACACAUCUCACUCCUAAAUUUUAAUAUUUACAUACAU